UGCCUGAGCUGGCAUCCUCUUCCUCCUGUCGGCGGGAGGUGUGGAUCACCUACUGCGUGCGGGGAACAAACGCCGCCCCAGUACCGGUCCCUGCAGCGGAGUAGCCUUCACCUGCAAGGUGAACGCCUGCUCACCACGUAAUCCCCAAACGCAGAUAUCACGUUGUCUCUGCAACUUUCCCUGACAACCACCCAAUGCAAUUAAUUAUCCCACAAUAGUAUCUCCCGCAGGCUCUCUGUAGAACCAUAGAAUUCAUCCAUCAAAAUACAAUCAUUUGUUGAUCCGUCUCUCUCUGCCGCCCCCAAAUGUGAAUUCCUUGAGUCAGAGACUAUUCUACUCAGCAAAACAUUUGUGAGUGGAAUUAAAUUGAAAUAAACCGUUAUAGUCCACUCACAGAUGGAAAACACAUAGUAAAAUCCUAGAAUUCCAUUUCUCCCCUGAAAAUUUCCCAGACAGUCAGAGGGAGUUUCAUUCUUUCCUGUUUACUUUUCUCCCAAAUAGGCCUUCUGAGGCAGCAGAAUAGGGAAGGAAGUCAGAAGACUGACCAGCUCAUACCUAUGGAAUGCCUAUCAUACAUACACUUAAAAUUAUGGCAAGCUCACGCAGGCGCACUAAGAGAGAAAAAACAAGAAAACAGAUAUGACAAUUAUAGGAAAUCCCCUCCCUAGAGUUAAAGAAGUGUAGGAAGUGGGUAUAAAAGAACAAAGGCUAUAUUAAUCCAGGGCUGACACCACUUGAAGAUAAGCCCGUUCCUCUCUCUGGUAUAUUCUUUGCUUAAUAAAUCUUGUGGGGUGGUUAUUUGUGUGUCUCAUCCAAUUCUUUGUUCAUAACACCAAGAACCUGGAACUCCCAACUUCCAAUCUGGUAACAUAUUUUGGUGAGCCAGCCAGGAGGGUCAAGCCUGCAAUACCUAAAGCUCCAGACCUGGAACCCAAAGCUCCCAUCAGUCGCUACCCUGUGAACCUGUGGAGGAUCUGAAGUACCUGUUUAAAAGGCAUCCAAAAGAUAGGUCUUGUUGAACUGGCUAGUGCUUCAACAACAAUGCUAAAUAAUAAAGGAUCUAACAAUAUUUCUGCUUUAAAUUGAUUUCAGAGGGAAUGUCUCUAACGUUGCAGUUAAGUAUCAUGUAAGCUUUAGGCCUGAGAUAGAUCUUUUAUCCAGUUAAAGGAAUAUUUGUCUGUUCUUAAGUUUUAUAAGGAAUUAGUUCUGCAUUUGAUUAAAUGUCUUUCAAGUAUUUCUUUGAAUUGUUGACAGCAGAUACAUAUUCUUUUUUUUUGUUUUGUUUUGAGACUGAGUCUUGCUCUGUCGCCCAGGCUGGAGCGCAGUG
This 1327-nucleotide long non-coding RNA is filed under the name Homo sapiens (human). RNAcentral describes it as "HSALNT0319731". Lineage: Eukaryota; Metazoa; Chordata; Mammalia; Primates; Hominidae. The record is from RNAcentral.